AGAGCGGCGGACGGGUGAGUAAUGCUUGGGAAUCUGCCUUUUGGUUCGGAACAACACGGGGAAACCUGUGCUAAUACCGGAUAAGUCCUAACGGAGAAAGUUUUAAUGCCAAAAGAUGAGCCCGCACUUGAUUAGCUAGUUGGUAAGGUAAUGGCUUACCAAGGCAACGAUCAAUAGCUGUUCUUAGAGGAAGACCAGCCACAUUGGGACUGAGACACGGCCCAAACUCC
Molecule: ribosomal RNA, 230 nt
Filed under: uncultured bacterium
Lineage: Bacteria
Description: partial 16S ribosomal RNA
Rfam family: Bacterial small subunit ribosomal RNA
Source: RNAcentral